Long non-coding RNA from Melanaphis sacchari, 281 nucleotides. RefSeq lists it as uncharacterized. The record is from RefSeq and is a predicted model, not a curated record. NCBI's taxonomy places the organism in Eukaryota, Metazoa, Arthropoda, Insecta, Hemiptera, Aphididae. The transcript is spliced from 3 exons.
GCGAUACAUAAAUCUGCAUAUAGUAUAAGAGAGUAUUAAACGUCUGAUGUAUGUAUUUAUGUAGAUGGCAGACCAUUUGUAAGUUACAAUCUCGUAAAGGCAAUCGAGAGUAAAAGUCCAAAUCGUAGUGGUCCUAAUUCAGAAAAUGAAUUAAUUAAUUCACUAAUUAUAAGUAGAAGAACUGAAGAUAAAUUAAAUGAUCAAAAAAAUAAGUGGGGCGAAUCCGUACUGGGGGAAGAUGCAAUUCGUAGUAUGUUAUUUAAUACAUUUUUAAAAUCGCU